AGAGUUUGAUCAUGGCUCAGGACGAACGCUGGCGGCGUGCCUAACACAUGCAAGUCGAGCGAUGAAAUCCUUCGGGAUGGAUUAGCGGCGGACGGGUGAGUAACACGUGGGUAACCUGCCUCAAAGAGGGGAAUAGCCUUCCGAAAGGAAGAUUAAUACCGCAUAAUAUGUUUUGAUCGCAUGAUCGAGACAUCAAAGGAGUAAUCCGCUUUGAGAUGGACCCGCGGCGCAUUAGCUAGUUGGUGAGGUAACGGCUCACCAAGGCGACGAUGCGUAGCCGACCUGAGAGGGUGAUCGGCCACAUUGGAACUGAGACACGGUCCAGACUCCUACGGGAGGCAGCAGUGGGGAAUAUUGCGCAAUGGGGGAAACCCUGACGCAGCAACGCCGCGUGAAUGAUGAAGGCCUUCGGGUUGUAAAGUUCUGUCUUCUGGGACGAUAAUGACGUACCAGAGAG
Molecule: ribosomal RNA, 457 nt
Filed under: uncultured Clostridiaceae bacterium
Lineage: Bacteria; Bacillati; Bacillota; Clostridia; Eubacteriales; Clostridiaceae
Description: bacterial SSU rRNA
Rfam family: Bacterial small subunit ribosomal RNA
Source: RNAcentral